RNAcentral lists this ribosomal RNA (684 nucleotides) under uncultured bacterium. RNAcentral's name for it is "bacterial SSU rRNA". It matches the Rfam family "Bacterial small subunit ribosomal RNA", at positions 28 to 724 of the family's 1533-position model. The record is from RNAcentral.
AACGAACGCUGGCGGCAGGCCUACACAUGCAAGUCGAACGUGAAGCAGCAGCUUGCUCCUGUGGAAAGUGGCAGACGGGUGAGUAACGCGUGGGAAUCUACCCAGCUCUACGGAAUAACGCAGGGAAACUUGUGCUAAUACCGUAUACGUCCUCCGGGAGAAAGAUUUAUCGGAGUUGGAUGAGCCCGCGUUAGAUUAGUUUGUUGGUGGGGUAACGGCCUACCAAGACUACGAUCUAUAGCUCGGUCUGAGAGGAUGAUCAGCCACACUGGGACUGAGACACGGCCCAGACUCCUACGGGAGGCAGCAGUGGGGAAUAUUGCACAAUGGGCGCAAGCCUGAUGCAGCCAUGCCGCGUGAGUGAAGAAGGCCUUAGGGUUGUAAAACUCUUUCAUCGGUUGAAGAUAAUGACGGUAGCCGAAAGAAGAAGCCCCGGCUAACUCCGAUGCCAGCAGACGCGGUAAUACGGAGGGGGCGAGCAGUUGUUCGGAAUUACUGGGACGUUAAGCGCACGUAGGGCGGAUUGGUCAGAUAGGGGGGUGAAAUCCCGAUGACUUAACCUCGGAAACUGCCCUCAAUUCACUGACAAUCUAGGAGAUCGGAAGCAGGUAAGUGAAAUUCCUACUGUAAACGGUGAAAUUCGUGAAGAAUAUUAAGGAAAGAACAACCAAGUGGGCAAAGCAG